RNAcentral lists this ribosomal RNA (461 nucleotides) under uncultured bacterium. RNAcentral's name for it is "partial 16S ribosomal RNA". It matches the Rfam family "Bacterial small subunit ribosomal RNA", at positions 338 to 795 of the family's 1533-position model. The record is from RNAcentral.
CCUACGGGUGGCAGCAGUGAGGAAUAUUGGUCAAUGGGCGGAAGCCUGAACCAGCCAAGUAGCGUGCAGGAUGACGGCCCUACGGGUUGUAAACUGCUUUUAUACGGGAAUAACGCGCCUUACGUGUAGGGCUUUGCAUGUACCGUAUGAAUCAGGACCGGCUAAUUCCGUGCCAGCAGCCGCGGUAAUCCGGAAGGUCCGGGCGUUAUCCGGAUGUAUUGGGUUUUAAGGGCGCGUAGGACGCAUGUCAAGCGUGCUGUGAAAUGUCCGGGCUCAACCCGGGCCUUGCAGCGCGAACUGGCGUGCUUGAGGCCGCGGAAAGCAGGCGGAAUUCGGCGUGUAGCGGUGAAAUGCUUAGAUAUGACGAAGAACCCCGAUUGCGAAGGCAGCUUGCUGGAGCGGAACUGACGCUGAUGCUCGAAAGCGCGGGUAUCGAACAGGAUUAGAUACCCCUGGUAGUC